This 497-nucleotide ribosomal RNA is filed under the name uncultured bacterium. RNAcentral's name for it is "partial 16S ribosomal RNA". It matches the Rfam family "Bacterial small subunit ribosomal RNA", at positions 28 to 507 of the family's 1533-position model. The record is from RNAcentral.
GAUGAACGCUGGCGGCGUGCCUAAUACAUGCAAGUCGAACGCACAGCGAAAGGUGCUUGCACCUUUCAAGUGAGUGGCGAACGGGUGAGUAACACGUGGACAACCUGCCUCAAGGCUGGGGAUAACAUUUGGAAACAGAUGCUAAUACCGAAUAAAACUUAGUGUCGCAUGACACAAAGUUAAAAGGCGCUUCGGCGUCACCUAGAGAUGGAUCCGCGGUGCAUUAGUUAGUUGGUGGGGUAAAGGCCUACCAAGACAAUGAUGCAUAGCCGAGUUGAGAGACUGAUAGGCCACAUUGGGACUGAGACACGGCCCAAACUCCUACGGGAGGCUGCAGUAGGGAAUCUUCCACAAUGGGCGAAAGCCUGAUGGAGCAACGCCGCGUGUGUGAUGAAGGCUUUCGGGUCGUAAAGCACUGUUGUAUGGGAAGAACAGCUAGAAUAGGAAAUGAUUUUAGUUUGACGGUACCAUACCAGAAAGGGACGGCUAAAUACGUG